This 380-nucleotide ribosomal RNA is filed under the name uncultured eukaryote. RNAcentral's name for it is "partial 18S ribosomal RNA". It matches the Rfam family "Eukaryotic small subunit ribosomal RNA", at positions 592 to 976 of the family's 1831-position model. The record is from RNAcentral.
CAAUAGCGUAUAUUAAAGUUGUUGCAGUUAGAACGCUCGUAGUCGGAUUUCGGGGCGGGCCGACCGGUCUGCCGAUGGGUAUGCACUGGUCGGCGCGUCCUUCCUUCCGGAGACCGUCCCUACUCUUAACUGAGCGGGGGCGGGAGACGGGACUUUUACUUUGAAAAAAUCAGAGUGUUUCAAGCAGGCAGCUCGCUCUUGCAUGGAUUAGCAAGGGAUAAUGAAAUAGGACUUUGGUGCUAUUUUGUUGGUUUCGAACACCGAAGUAAUGAUGAGAAGGGACAGUCAGGGGCACUCGUAUUCCGCCGAGAGAGGUGAAAUUCUCAGACCAGCGGAAGACGAACCACUGCGAAAGCAUUUGCCAGGGAUGUUUUCACUGA